GUCAGACCUGCUCUUAGUGUUCUCAGUGUUCUCGGUUUGUUUCCAGUGGGUUUGUUUCAACGUAAAUGGAGGAUUGUUGUGAAGCAUCUCGACUAAUGGUGACAAAGUGUUCCAGGAUUGUGCAGCUCCAGGAGAGUUUCCACCUGAAGAAAUAUGGACAGCUAUUGACGAUGAUCCUGUCUGACUAUCCGUGGAUCCAGAUGUCUAUGCAUACUUUCCUGAUUGGGUCCCUGCCUCUGACACACUGCCAGCUGCUGUUCAGGAUCAACUGUAUUAUGUAAAUUGGUGGUUUUCUUUUUAAUGUGUAGUUCCAGUUUUGCUAGAAGAGUAUCAGACUGGACCCCUGACAUCCUGAACUGCACCUUGAAGCGAUCAAGAUACUUCUGCAGCUCCUUUAUCAGUCAGUGAAACGCUCCUUCCACACUACUUGAUGUGUCAUGAGUUGCUGUGUUUGUUUUCAGUGUCUUACCUCCUUGUUGUUUGUUAGUGUUUGUUAUUCCCCACCUAAAGGCGACUCUGUGGGGCUAACAAUAAUCCCACACAUGAAUCCAUAUAACCACAAAAACUCAUUUUAACACUUAACAAAAAGGGAUUUAAUAUAAAAUGACAAAAAGGAAUAAACAAUUCAACAAAGAUCAACAAUACAUGAACAUGACAAAACACAAGCACACAAAUCCCUUGAAGGAGCGACAGACAGGCAGCAGUCCUCAACUCAGAUGCCUCUUCCCUACUGCAGGCAUCUGUGGACUUUUAAAGGCCCACCGCCAGGUGAACCUCAUUGCCUCAAUUAAGAGGCACCUGCAGAGAAGAAGGUGCUAGAGGGGGAGGGACACAUUACAAACAUACAGCUGUAACAGUGUUCCAUGUCUUGUAUUCCUUGUGUGUUAGUUUUCACUUGCGUGUUUGUAGUUAAGUUUUUAGUGUUUCCUGUUUUAUUUUGUAGUUCUUCCUCCCUGUGUGUCUGAUUUAGUUUCACUUCCUGUCCUUAUGUUUCCUUCCAGUGUUGUUUGCAGCCUGAUUCCUUUCACCUGUGUCUCACCUGUGUUAGAUCACCCUCUGUGUGUUUGGUCUCUGUGUUUCCCUUCUUGAUUGUCAGUUCAUCGUAUGUCUAGUUUCUUGGACAUUUUAGUAAGUUUUGUUUGUAACUUUGGCCUUUUGUUCUUUUGUGAUUAAAUCUUUAUUUUUCUGCACAUGGGUC
Long non-coding RNA from Notolabrus celidotus (New Zealand spotty), 1198 nucleotides. RefSeq lists it as uncharacterized. Lineage: Eukaryota; Metazoa; Chordata; Actinopteri; Labriformes; Labridae. The transcript is spliced from 3 exons. The record is from RefSeq and is a predicted model, not a curated record.